CCUACGGGUGGCAGCAGUGAGGAAUAUUGGUCAAUGGGCGAAAGCCUGAACCAGCCAUGCCGCGUGCAGGAAGACGGCUCUAUGAGUUGUAAACUGCUUUUGUACGAGGGUAAACAGAGAUACGUGUACCUGCUUGAAAGUAACGUACGAAUCAGGAUCGGCUAACUCCGUUCCAGCCACCGCGGUCAUACGGAGGAUCCACGCGUUAUCCGGAUUUAGUGGGUUUACAGGGAGCGUAGGCGGUUUAGUAAGUCAGCUGUGAAAUUUUGGGGCUCAACAACAAACGUGCCGUUGAUACUGCUGAGCUAGAGAGUAGUUGCGGUAGGCGGAAUGUAUGGUGUAGCGGUGAAAUGCUUAGAGAUCAUACAGAACACCGAUUGCGAAGGCAGCUUACCAAACUAUAUCUGACGUUGAGGCUCGAAAGCGUGGGGAGCAAACAGGAUUAGAUACCCUAGUAGUC
Molecule: ribosomal RNA, 460 nt
Filed under: uncultured bacterium
Lineage: Bacteria
Description: partial 16S ribosomal RNA
Rfam family: Bacterial small subunit ribosomal RNA
Source: RNAcentral